RNAcentral lists this ribosomal RNA (708 nucleotides) under Triticum aestivum (bread wheat). Its description in RNAcentral is "partial small subunit ribosomal RNA". The record is from RNAcentral. Lineage: Eukaryota; Viridiplantae; Streptophyta; Magnoliopsida; Poales; Poaceae.
AUGAACAUUGCCCUCCUCUCCCGCUGGCUCUUGCGCAUCUCACAAGGGCAUGGCGGUUUGUGGUUAGACAUCAUCCGGAAUAAAUACUUGCGUGGCCAACCUCUGGCUUUCUGCCAGCGUUCGGGUGGAUCCCAGUUCUCGCAAUCGGUCAUCCAACUGUUCCCCGUCCUCCGCAUUGGGACCUCCAUCUCGGUCGGAUCGAGAGCAGCAACCUUGUUCUGGUUUGACCGAUGGGCGGAUGACGCUCCUUUCGCGGCCCGCUUCCCCGACCUCUUCUCCAUCGCUGUCGUCCCUACAAUCUCAGUUCAACAGGCCCUUAUUGACUUAGGGCGCCUCGCGUUCCGGAGGCCAUUUGGGCCUUCGGAAGUAGCCGCCUGGCAUGAACUUCUUGAUUGUAUUGCUCUCCAUGAGCCGACUGUCGAUGCUGGCCCGGAUGAGGUUCGGUGGCACCUUGAGGCCUCAGGUCAAUUCUCCACCAAGUCCCACUACGCGGCUAUCGCCCCAUCCUCCGCCCCGCUGCACCUCCAUGCGAUAUGGUCCAUUUGCGUGCCCCUUAUAAUCCGUAUUUUCAUGUGGCAAUGGAUCCGUGGCCGACCGCCGUCUGGAGUUGAGGUCCGCAAGCGCAAUGGCCCGGGCUCUGGCCUCUGCCCCCUUUGUGAUACCCCUGAAGACUCGAACCACAUAUUCUUCUCUUGCGUGUUGGCUUAG